This 73-nucleotide transfer RNA is filed under the name Aquificaceae bacterium. Its description in RNAcentral is "tRNA-Val". It matches the Rfam family "tRNA". From Rfam's summary of the family: Transfer RNA (tRNA) molecules are approximately 80 nucleotides in length. Their secondary structure includes four short double-helical elements and three loops (D, anti-codon, and T loops). The record is from RNAcentral. Lineage: Bacteria; Pseudomonadati; Aquificota; Aquificia; Aquificales; Aquificaceae. RNAcentral also lists the same sequence under 2 other names.
AGGCGCGUAGCUCAGCUGGCAGAGCGCCUCCCUUACAAGGAGGAGGUCGGCGGUUCAAGUCCGCCCGUGCCUA